RNAcentral lists this unclassified non-coding RNA (404 nucleotides) under Hevea brasiliensis (rubber tree). The record is from RNAcentral. Lineage: Eukaryota; Viridiplantae; Streptophyta; Magnoliopsida; Malpighiales; Euphorbiaceae.
UCACAGUUCAGUAGCUCAGGAAUUUUUAAUAAUCAGGGGAAUUAAGUAAUAAUUUUCUGGAAUGGACUGAGCUAAAUUUUCUUGGGUCCUUCAUUUUGAGUCUUAGCACAGAGUCCUAAAACAAGUCUAGUAGUUAAUUUUAGUUUUAUAUUUGGGGUUCAAGUCCUAAAAGGGUUAGGAUUCAUCUUAAGUCUAUAAACACCUAAGCAUGUAAUGUUUUAUUAUUCAGUUUCCAGUGAAUAAAUUCCAGCAAUAUAACUUCUUUGAGCAGUGUGAUGCAAUUAUAACCCAGAAAGUGUGAGGCUUUCUUGAUAGGAGUGAGUCCUAGAUCCUCCUACCACGAGGCUAAGAGUUUUGUCUUGCUUGCUUAAUUUUCUCUUUAAUUUAACCAGACCUGCCAAGUU